UACGUAGGGGGCUAGCGUUGUCCGGAUUUAUUGGGCGUAAAGAGCUCGUAGGCGGUCUGUCGCGUCUGCUGUGAAAACUCGGGGCUUAACCCCGGGCCUGCAGUGGGUACGGGCAGACUAGAGUGCGGUAGGGGAGACUGGAAUUCCUGGUGUAGCGGUGAAAUGCGCAGAUAUCAGGAGGAACACCGAUGGCGAAGGCAGGUCUCUGGGCCACUACUGACGCUGAGAAGCGAAAGCAUGGGGAGCGAACAGG
RNAcentral lists this ribosomal RNA (253 nucleotides) under uncultured bacterium. Its description in RNAcentral is "partial 16S ribosomal RNA". It matches the Rfam family "Bacterial small subunit ribosomal RNA", at positions 524 to 776 of the family's 1533-position model. The record is from RNAcentral.